This 626-nucleotide ribosomal RNA is filed under the name uncultured bacterium. RNAcentral's name for it is "bacterial SSU rRNA". It matches the Rfam family "Bacterial small subunit ribosomal RNA", at positions 218 to 842 of the family's 1533-position model. The record is from RNAcentral.
GCGGGGGAUGGGCAUGCGGCGCAUUAGCUAGUCGGCGGGGUAACGGCCCACCGAGGCGACGAUGCGUAGGGGUUCUGAGAGGAAGGUCCCCCACACUGGUACUGAGACACGGACCAGACUCCUACGGGAGGCAGCAGUGAGGAAUAUUGGUCAAUGGGCGGGAGCCUGAACCAGCCAAGUCGCGUGAGGGAAGACGGUCCUACGGAUUGUAAACCUCUUUUGCCGGGGAGCAACGGGGUCCUUGCGAGGGCCCGAUGAGAGUACCCGGAGAAAAAGCAUCGGCUAACUCCGUGCCAGCAGCCGCGGUAAUACGGAGGAUGCGAGCGUUAUCCGGAUUUAUUGGGUUUAAAGGGUGCGUAGGCGGGCUGUUAAGUCAGCGGUCAAAUGUCGGGGCUCAACCCCGGCCUGCCGUUGAAACUGGCGGCCUCGAGUGGGCGAGAAGUAUGCGGAAUGCGUGGUGUAGCGGUGAAAUGCAUAGAUAUCACGCAGAACUCCGAUUGCGAAGGCAGCAUACCGGCGCCCUACUGACGCUGAGGCACGAAAGCGUGGGUAUCGAACAGGAUUAGAUACCCUGGUAGUCCACGCAGUAAACGAUGAAUGCUAGCUGUCCGGUUCUACGGGACUGG